GGAGUCCUCCUCAAUGCCAGUUGAUGGUAAUUUUCAGCCGAACUGAGCAUAACUCUUAAUGGACUCAUAGGAAAAGGUAUUAACUAUCCUUGUGCUUGAAGAUAAAACCACUUCCCGCUCUCCUGGAACUUAAUUCGACAUUU
Molecule: small nucleolar RNA, 143 nt
Organism: Drosophila melanogaster (fruit fly)
Lineage: Eukaryota; Metazoa; Arthropoda; Insecta; Diptera; Drosophilidae
Source: Ensembl